This 253-nucleotide ribosomal RNA is filed under the name uncultured bacterium. RNAcentral describes it as "partial 16S ribosomal RNA". It matches the Rfam family "Bacterial small subunit ribosomal RNA", at positions 524 to 776 of the family's 1533-position model. The record is from RNAcentral.
UACAGAGGGGGCAAGCGUUGUUCGGAAUUACUGGGCGUAAAGGGCGCGUAGGCGGACGCCUAAGUGUCUUGUGAAAUCCCCCGGCUCACCCGGGGAACUGCUGGGCAUACUGGGCGUCUUGGGCCAACUAGGGGCAACUGGAACAAGCGGUGGAGCGGUGAAAUGCGUAGAUAUCGCUUGGAACGCCGAAGGUGAAAACAGGUUGCUGGGGUUGUGCCGACGCUGAGACACGAAAGCCAGGGGAGCAAACGGG